RNAcentral lists this ribosomal RNA (468 nucleotides) under uncultured bacterium. Its description in RNAcentral is "partial 16S ribosomal RNA". It matches the Rfam family "Bacterial small subunit ribosomal RNA", at positions 28 to 507 of the family's 1533-position model. The record is from RNAcentral.
GACGAACGCUGGCGGCGUGCUUAACACAUGCCAGUCGAACGGAAAGGCCCUGCUUUUGUGGGGUGCUCGAGUGGCGAACGGGUGAGUAACACGUGAGUAACCUGCCCUUGACUUUGGGAUAACUUCAGGAAACUGGGGCUAAUACCGGAUAGGAGCUCCUGCUGCAUGGUGGGGGUUGGAAAGUUUCGGCGGUUGGGGAUGGUCUCGCGGGUUAUCAGCUUGUUGGUGGGGUAGUGGCUUACCAAGGCUUUGACGGGUAGCCGGCCUGAGAGGGUGACCGGGCACAUGGGGACUGAGGUACGGAGCAGAAUACUACGGGACGCAACAGUGGGGAAUAUUACAGAGUGGGCGGAAGCGAGAUGCAGCAACGGCGGGUGCGGGAUGACGGGCUACGGGUUAAAAACCGAUUUCGACUGUGACGAAGAGUGAGUGACGGUAAUGGGUAAAGAAGCAACGGCUAACUACGUG